Molecule: ribosomal RNA, 305 nt
Filed under: uncultured Peredibacter sp.
Lineage: Bacteria; Pseudomonadati; Bdellovibrionota; Bacteriovoracia; Bacteriovoracales; Bacteriovoracaceae
Description: bacterial SSU rRNA
Rfam family: Bacterial small subunit ribosomal RNA
Source: RNAcentral
GAGAGGUGCUGCAUGGCUGUCGUCAGCUCGUGUUGUGAAAUGUUGGGUUAAGUCUCGCAACGAGCGCAACCCCUAUCGUCUGUUGCCAGCAUUAAGUUGGGCACUCUGACGAGACUGCCUGGGAUAACCAGGAGGAAGGUGGGGAUGACGUCAAGUCCUCAUGGCCCUUAUGUCUAGGGCUACACACGUAAUACAAUGGCGCGUACAGAGGGAAGCGAACCUGCGAGGGGGAGCAAAUCUCAAAAGCGCGCCUCAGUUCGGAUUGGAGUCUGCAACUCGACUCCAUGAAGUUGGAAUCGCUAGUA